Molecule: long non-coding RNA, 1052 nt
Organism: Vigna angularis (adzuki bean)
Lineage: Eukaryota; Viridiplantae; Streptophyta; Magnoliopsida; Fabales; Fabaceae
Exons: 2
Source: RefSeq, a predicted model, not a curated record
UUCAUUUUUAGAGGUACCGGGAGUGCAUACGGAGUAGCUAAUUUCGUUUUGGGCUUGGAGGAGUGGAUUUCAAGUGGUGUGUUUAGAGAAAAAGGCGGUGCAACAAGAAUUAAAAUGGAAAGCACCAUAGUCCAUGAUGCAAUUAAUUGGGAAGCAGCAAGGUGGAGAAUUAAUAGAAGAGCACCGGCCCACAUUUGGUUUGGCUUUGGAGGGAGUGCACAAGGGAGCUGGAUGGAACGUGAGAGCAUCCACUUACACGCUUUUGGCUGGGCUUUUAAAAAUAUUUGUUUGGAAGAAGAGCAGCAGCGGUUUGGUGUCAUGGGGAGAAGGGGAGAGAGCUGGGACAUGGAAGUGGGAGGCCACGCACAUCAAGGACACGACCCAGGAUUAAGUGCUACUGCCACCUCUUAAAGGUCCAGCAGCUUGGAGAAUAAGGCACGGUCCAGCAGCAACUUGGAGAGCUUCACACGUCCAGGAGAGAAGCGGUCCAGCAGGGGGUGACGAACAGCAAAGCAAGUCCAGCAGCUUGGAAGUGGUGUGAGUAUUGGAGAAUAGGGUGACGGGUAGGAAGUACGGGAGGCACUCUUGGUCCAGCUUGCACACGGCAUCCAGCCACCGAGAUGGAGAGAGUUUUUAUUAGGGAUGGUAUGUCGAGAAAGGAGGGACGCGCACACGUUGAGAAAACCAGCCGCCACAGUAGAAAGAGAGGGAGAACCACCGAGAGAACUGUAGUGCACACGGUGUCACGACUGAUUCCAGGAGGGGAGAGCAGUCACCCACUGGGGGUCUCUCUCGGUUAUAUCUUCCAGCAAGCAACUCUCAGUUUUGAUUCUUUUUCUUUUCUUAGAUAAUAGGUGCUGGAAUGAAACACAGUGAUAGAGAAAGAGCUCCAACCGCCACACUUGCUUAGUUGUCUUUUUUGUUGGGAACAUUUUCAUUUUGGAAGAAAGAAAUUAAAAGUGUGAAUGUUGUUACGGUGGAAUGAAGAAGCUUCACUGUAAUUUGAUGCACUUUAAGUUGAUGUUGUUGAAUACCGAUUGCCAUUUUCAUUU